UGGCUUUGAAUGGUGCCUUCUGAACACACAAAAGUUCUGGAGUUCAAAUAAUUCCAAUAAAUGAGACCCCUUUUGUAACAGAUGAGUUUUUAUAUGAAACCGUGAUACUUCGAAAGAGAUUGUCCAAUUUUUACACGAAGUGCAUCCAGUUUUUGCCGCAACCCUCUCAACUUUUAGUACAUGCUAUGUGGGUGAAAUGAUGAUACCAUGCCAACUUUCAACAUUUUCAGAGUUCAUUUGUAGUGCUUUUCAAUUUUUGGGCCAUUUAGCUCAAACAAAUCAAUAAAUGCAUGAAAAUACCAAAUGAUG
Molecule: long non-coding RNA, 309 nt
Filed under: Hordeum vulgare
Lineage: Eukaryota; Viridiplantae; Streptophyta; Magnoliopsida; Poales; Poaceae
Description: long non-coding RNA (HVUL_LNC001496)
Source: RNAcentral